This 769-nucleotide ribosomal RNA is filed under the name Enterobacter hormaechei. RNAcentral's name for it is "partial 23S ribosomal RNA". It matches the Rfam family "Bacterial large subunit ribosomal RNA", at positions 419 to 1191 of the family's 2925-position model. The record is from RNAcentral. Lineage: Bacteria; Pseudomonadati; Pseudomonadota; Gammaproteobacteria; Enterobacterales; Enterobacteriaceae. RNAcentral also lists the same sequence under 1 other name.
GGGACACGUGGUAUCCUGUCUGAAUAUGGGGGGACCAUCCUCCAAGGCUAAAUACUCCUGACUGACCGAUAGUGAACCAGUACCGUGAGGGAAAGGCGAAAAGAACCCCGGCGAGGGGAGUGAAAAAGAACCUGAAACCGUGUACGUACAAGCAGUGGGAGCACCUUCGGGUGUGACUGCGUACCUUUUGUAUAAUGGGUCAGCGACUUAUAUUCUGUAGCAAGGUUAACCGUAUAGGGGAGCCGAAGGGAAACCGAGUCUUAACUGGGCGUUAAGUUGCAGGGUAUAGACCCGAAACCCGGUGAUCUAGCCAUGGGCAGGUUGAAGGUUGGGUAACACUAACUGGAGGACCGAACCGACUAAUGUUGAAAAAUUAGCGGAUGACCUGUGGCUGGGGGUGAAAGGCCAAUCAAACCGGGAGAUAGCUGGUUCUCCCCGAAAGCUAUUUAGGUAGCGCCUCGUGAACUCAUCUUCGGGGGUAGAGCACUGUUUCGGCUAGGGGGCCAUCCCGGCUUACCAACCCGAUGCAAACUACGAAUACCGAAGAAUGUUAUCACGGGAGACACACGGCGGGUGCUAACGUCCGUCGUGAAGAGGGAAACAACCCAGACCGCCAGCUAAGGUCCCAAAGUCAUGGUUAAGUGGGAAACGAUGUGGGAAGGCACAGACAGCCAGGAUGUUGGCUUAGAAGCAGCCAUCAUUUAAAGAAAGCGUAAUAGCUCACUGGUCGAGUCGGCCUGCGCGGAAGAUGUAACGGGGCUAAACCAUG